RNAcentral lists this ribosomal RNA (492 nucleotides) under Mesomycoplasma hyorhinis. RNAcentral describes it as "bacterial SSU rRNA". It matches the Rfam family "Bacterial small subunit ribosomal RNA", at positions 916 to 1381 of the family's 1533-position model. The record is from RNAcentral. Lineage: Bacteria; Bacillati; Mycoplasmatota; Mycoplasmoidales; Metamycoplasmataceae.
GGGAUAUACGGAUUGACGGGAACCCGCACAAGCGGUGGAGCAUGUGGUUUAAUUUGAAGCUACGCGUAGAACCUUACCCACUCUUGACAUCUUCUGCAAAGCUAUAGAGAUAUAGUGGAGGUUAACAGAAUGACAGAUGGUGCAUGGUUGUCGUCAGCUCGUGUCGUGAGAUGUUAGGUUAAGUCCUGCAACGAGCGCAACCCUUUUCUUUAGUUACUAUAUUAAGUUAAGGACUCUAGAGAUACUGCCUGGGUAACCAGGAGGAAGGUGGGGACGACGUCAAAUCAUCAUGCCUCUUACGAGUGGGGCAACACACGUGCUACAAUGGUCGGUACAAAGAGAAGCAAUAUGGUGACAUGGAGCAAAUCUCAAAAAACCGAUCUCAGUUCGGAUUGAAGUCUGCAACUCGACUUCAUGAAGUCGGAAUCGCUAGUAAUCGUAGAUCAGCUACGCUACGGUGAAUACGUUCUCGGGGUUACCCCCCCCCCGAAA